RNAcentral lists this ribosomal RNA (1073 nucleotides) under uncultured eukaryote. Its description in RNAcentral is "bacterial SSU rRNA". It matches the Rfam family "Eukaryotic small subunit ribosomal RNA", at positions 20 to 1097 of the family's 1831-position model. The record is from RNAcentral.
GCAGCUACGAUUGUCUAGGAUUAGCCAUGCAUGUCUAAGUAUAAACAACUAUUUACUGUAAAACUGCGUACAGCUCAUUAUAUCAGCAAUAAUUUAUUUGAUGGCGAAUUUCUACUUGGAUAACCGUGGAAAUUCUAGAGCUAAUACAUGCGUAAAGCUGGAACUCUCACGGGAACCGGUGUAUUUAUUAGAUAAAAAGCCAAUGCAGGCCUCUGGUAUGGAACAUUGGUGAUUCAUAAUAACUUUUCAAAUCGCAUAGCCUAGUGCUGGCGAUAGUUCAUUCAAAUUUCUGCCCUAUCAGCUUUACGGUAGCGUAGUGAACUACCGUGGCGUUAACGGGUGACGGGGAAUUAGGGUUCUAUUCCGGAGAGGGAGCCUGAGAAACGGCUACCACAUCCAAGGAAGGCAGCAGGCGCGUAAAUUACCCAAUCCUCAAACGGGGAGGUAGUGACGAAAAAUAACAAUACGAGACUCAUCCGAGGCUUCGUAAUUGGAAUGGGUACACUUCAAAUCCUUUAACGAGGAACAAUUGGAGGGCAAGUCUGGUGCCAGCAGCCGCGGUAAUUCCAGCUCCAAUAGCGUAUAUUAAAGUUGCUGCGGUUAAAAAGCUCGUAGUUGGAUCUCAGUCUCGGGCGGACGGUCCAUUUUACGAUGGUACUGUCCGAAUCGGACAUUUGGCCGCCUUUCCCAGUAUGCUCUUCACUGAGUGUGCUGGGAGAGUGGCACGUUUACUUUGAAAAAAUUAGAGUGCUCAAAGCAGGCUCUUGCCUGAAUCUUCGUGCAUGGAAUGAUGGAAUAUGGCCUUGGUUCUAUUUUGUUGGUUUCCGGAACUCGAGGUAAUGAUUAAGAGGGACAGACGGGGGGCAUUCGUAUUGCGACGUUAGAGGUGAAAUUCUUGGAUCGUCGCAAGACGGACGACUGCGAAAGCAUUUGCCAAGAAUGUUUUCAUUAAUCAAGAACGAAAGUUAGAGGUUCGAAAGGCGAUCAGAUACCGCCCUAGUUCUAACCGUUAACGAUGCCAACUAGCGAUCCGCUGGCGUUAAACAACGACCUAGCGGGCAGCUUCCCGGGAA